CAGCCCUCUGCCCUUCCCUCAAGGCUGGCCAGUAAGCAGAGCCAGUGCUGACCGAGGGGGUGUGCCAGGAAGAGUGGGGUGGGUAGGAGUGGCAGUGCCUGUGAGUACUGCCCAGGAGCAGAGGAGCAUUGCUCAGAGAGUAGAGAGGAACAAGCCUAUACUCUUAGCACCUCUGGAGGCUGAGGUAGGAGGAUUGCAGGUUCAAUGCCAGCUUCAGCAACUUAUCAAGGCCCCAAGCAACUCAAUGAGACCCUUUCUCUAAAUAGAAAAUAAAAAUAAAAAUGGCUGGGGAGUAGAGCACCCUUGAGUUAAAUCCUCAGCAUCCCCCCAUACCAAAAAAAAAAAGAGAGAGCAUGGAGAGCUGAGACCAGCUCUGGGGCCUGAAAGUGGAGGAAGGAGCCUCCUUCCUUCCUUUCUUCCAUGCUGUGAUCCCUUGCAGAUGUACAGAGGCCUGUAUCUCCAUUUAUUAAUUUCAAAGUUGAUUCUGACUCAGGAGGAGAAAGAGAAGGUAUGGGAAAUGGGGAAACCCUUUGGCUGGGGACUGUGCCUUGGGAACAGGCCUAGAUGAGUUAAUAUUCUGAUCAAACAAUUAAAAAUAGAAAACGCUCCCGAGGCACCAGCUGCUGAGGCUCUCGGCAACUGUCACCAGCGGGUUCAGGGGCAGGUGGUGCUGGAAGGAGCUUCUCUCCACAAACAGCAAAUUUCAGAGGUCACUGAGUGCCCACUGCCCUCCCAGUACUAGGGAAGGGUCUGGGGCUCCCAGUCCUCCAUGGUUCCCUCAGGGGCCUCAGUGGGGCCUGUGCAGCUUCAGGGCCGCCCUUCUCCCCUGCAGGGCUGGCCACACGGUGAAGUCAUCGCCAGAUGCCUUGGUAAUUGCUUUAAGAGUCCAACUUA
This 894-nucleotide long non-coding RNA is filed under the name Marmota monax (woodchuck). The record is from RNAcentral. Lineage: Eukaryota; Metazoa; Chordata; Mammalia; Rodentia; Sciuridae.